Molecule: ribosomal RNA, 393 nt
Filed under: uncultured bacterium
Lineage: Bacteria
Description: partial 16S ribosomal RNA
Rfam family: Bacterial small subunit ribosomal RNA
Source: RNAcentral
AUACGGAGGAUGCGAGCGUUAUCCGGAUUUAUUGGGUUUAAAGGGAGCGUAGGUGGGAUAUUAAGUCAGCUGUGAAAGUUUGGGGCUCAACCUUAAAAUUGCAGUUGAUACUGGUUUCCUUGAGUACGGUAUAGGUGGGCGGAAUUCGUGGUGUAGCGGUGAAAUGCUUAGAUAUCACGAAGAACUCCGAUCGCGAAGGCAGCUCACCGGGCCGGAACUGACACUGAUGCUCGAAAGUGCGGGUAUCAAACAGGAUUAGAUACCCUGGUAGUCCACACAGUAAACGAUGAAUACCCGCUGUUUGCGAUAUACAGUAAGCGGCCAAGCGAAAGCAUUAAGUAUUCCACCUGGGGAGUACGCCGGCAACGGUGAAACUCAAAGGAAUUGACGGGG